This 414-nucleotide ribosomal RNA is filed under the name uncultured bacterium. RNAcentral's name for it is "bacterial SSU rRNA". It matches the Rfam family "Bacterial small subunit ribosomal RNA", at positions 355 to 787 of the family's 1533-position model. The record is from RNAcentral.
UAGGGAAUAUUGCACAAUGGGGGAAACCCUGACCCAGCGACGCCGCGUGAGGGAAGAAGGUUUUCGGAUUGUAAACCUCUGUCCUUGGUGACGAUAAUGACGGUAGCCAAGGAGGAAGCCACGGCUAACUACGUGCCAGCAGCCGCGGUAAUACGUAGGUGGCGAGCGUUGUCCGGAAUUACUGGGUGUAAAGGGAGCGUAGGCGGGAGAGCAAGUCGACUGUGAAAGCUAUGGGCUUAACCCAUAGAUGCGAUCGAAACUGUUCAUCUUGAGUGAAGUAGAGGCAGGCGGAAUUCCUAGUGUAGCGGUGAAAUGCGUAGAUAUUAGGAGGAACACCAGUGGCGAAGGCGGCCUGCUGGACUGAGACUGACGUUGAGGCUCGAAGGCGUGGGGAGCAAACAGGAUUAGAUACCC